UCCCCUCCCUUCCCCGCGCGCGGCGCUCUGGGCUUCGCCUGACAUCUAGCUGCUGCUGGGGCGCCGGCGGCCGCCGCUCACCGGCCCAGCGCAGAGAGAAGGAGCUCGCGGAGAGCGGUGCCAGGGACUCGGAACCCUCCGUGCUGGCAGUGGAGGUCCAGGCCGUGUGAUCGGGUUCUGGCCAACAAAUGGACUGGAAGAAAUGCCACUUCCAGGAGGGGCCCAGAAAAGUCUCCAGCACAGGCUCCUCUGUGCCCUGUCCCUUCCUGCGACCUGACCCCAUGAGGAUAGAGAUGCCGGGGAAGCUGAGUAAGGAAAAUGGCAGAGCCAAGCUGGAAGGAACCUGGGUCCCUGAAUUAUGACUUGUGGGGACACCGCCUGCCUCCUAAGAACACCCACUGUGAACUUAGAGAAACAAGAAAUAAACCUCCCAUGUCUCCAGUAGGGUUGCCAAAUAAAAAAGAAGGCCCCCAGUCUCA
This is a long non-coding RNA of Mustela lutreola (European mink), 479 nucleotides long. RefSeq lists it as uncharacterized. The transcript has 2 exons. Lineage: Eukaryota; Metazoa; Chordata; Mammalia; Carnivora; Mustelidae. The record is from RefSeq and is a predicted model, not a curated record.